GACGAACGCUGGCGGCGUGCUUGACACAUGCAAGUCGAACGGAAAGGCCUGCUUUCCCUUGUGGAUUGCGGGUACUCGAGUGGCGAACGGGUGAGUAACACGUGAGUGAUCUGCCCCCAACUUGGGUAUAAGCCUGGGAAACUGGGUCUAAUUCCCGAUAGGACUGCAGGGUGGUGCCUGUGGUGGAAAACGAUUUUCUAGUGGUUGGGGAUGAGCUCGCGGCCUAUCAGCUUGUUGGUGGGGUAAUGGCCUACCAAGGCGGCGACGGGUAGCCGGCCUGAGAGGGUGGACGGCCACAUUGGGACUGAGAUACGGCCCAGACUCCUACGGGAGGCAGCAGUGGGGAAUAUUGCACAAUGGGCGGAAGCCUGAUGCAGCGACGCCGCGUGGGUGAUGACGGCCUUCGGGUUGUAAACUCCUUUCGACCGCGAGGAAGCCACCUGGUUGGAAGGGUGGUGACGGUAGUGGUAGAAGAAGCACCGGCUAACUACGUG
This 494-nucleotide ribosomal RNA is filed under the name uncultured bacterium. RNAcentral's name for it is "partial 16S ribosomal RNA". It matches the Rfam family "Bacterial small subunit ribosomal RNA", at positions 28 to 507 of the family's 1533-position model. The record is from RNAcentral.